Molecule: long non-coding RNA, 597 nt
Organism: Symphalangus syndactylus (siamang)
Lineage: Eukaryota; Metazoa; Chordata; Mammalia; Primates; Hylobatidae
Source: RefSeq, a predicted model, not a curated record
ACUUCCGGCGGGCGGGCUCCGAAAGGAGAGCGCGAAGGCUGGAGGUGGUAGGAAUGGACUGGAUGGAGGUGGCGGGCUGACAGGUCUGAGGCCUGAGGGAGUUCGGGGAACCGCAAAGCACGGUGUGCCUCCGUUGUCCUGAAGAAAAAGCCGCGCGUGGACGACUGGCCGGCCCGCUCUUGCAGCUUCCAGAAGUUGACAGGCACCCUCCGGUGACCGGAGACAGGGUUUCACCGUGUUAGCCAGGAUGGUCUCAAUCUCCUGACCUCGUGAUCCACCCGCCUCGGCCUCCCAAAGUGUUGGGAUUACAGGCGUGAGCCACCAUGCCCGGCCCAAAAUUGUCAUCUUUAAAGUACUGAACCCAGCCAUCCAUGAAUAUAGAGCUUGCCACAUGGUGCUAAACUGUCCUUCAGAAAAGUGAUAUGAAUUUGCAUCCCAUCAGGCUGAUAGAAGAGCACCUCUUCCUUAAGAGAUAUCAGGUUCUUGCUCUGUCACCCAGGCUGAAGUGCAGUGCUACUAUCAUAACUCACUGAAGCCUUGAACUCCUGGCCUCAAGCAAUCCUCCUGUCAUGGCCUCUCAAACUGCUAGGAUUACAG